UCAAGCAAAACAAGUGUUUUAUGUCACUGAUCCCGCUAACAAAAGAUGGUCAGUGGUUCUCCAAGGCAGAACCAUACAUUAUACUGAUUACAUUGAUGAAUUGAUACUUGAUAUUAGCGAAACUCCAUCCUUCUCAUCAAAUAUGCCGACCUUGAAUGUCGACAAUGAAGUAGAUGAUGUUCAUGUCGUACGUGAUGACCACAAUGAAGGGUUAUGGGAGAACAUUCUAACUUGACCCAUUUAUUUAUGUGCUCAUAAACUUGUGUGUGGCUUUUCUUCACGCUCUUCAUCUUUCUCAGUUCAAGUUAAUUGGUGGGUAGGUUCAAAGUUUUGAUCUGAAGCCAUUACAAACAAGAUAACCUAAUAUCCAUUGCUUUCAGGGAAAUGCCCGGUGACACACCAUUUGGUGACCUUCCACCUUCAUAAGGUGGGGACAAGAUUCAUACAUGUACCAAAAAAAAUGGUAGGCGUGGAACUAGGUUGAGGGAGUUAACAGUCAGUCGUAGUGCGGAUCAAAGAUUGCCUAUCCAAUUUGAUAUGCAAACUGGUAAAGCUUUGGGAGAUAAUAGCACAAAAUUCACCAGCUAUGUGGCCUUGCUUGGUAGGAGCAAGUCAUCCAUUCUUAUAGAUGAUUGGGACCAUGUUCCAGAGACAGUAAAGAAUCAGAUUUGGCUAAGUGUCCAAGUCACAUAUGAUGUCCCAAAUAGUAAUCUGUUGAGGACGAAAUGGAUUUCAUUUGCUGGGGAACGAUGGAAGGGUUUUAAGACGGACCUUACAAGUCGUUAUAUCUAUGGUCCCUUAAGUGAUAAAAACCCUUGUGAGAAGUAUCCGUUCCUUGAUGAAGACACAUGGCAGGCUUUUAAGGAAAGG
Vigna unguiculata (cowpea) is the source of this 870-nucleotide long non-coding RNA. Lineage: Eukaryota; Viridiplantae; Streptophyta; Magnoliopsida; Fabales; Fabaceae. The record is from RefSeq and is a predicted model, not a curated record.